This 530-nucleotide ribosomal RNA is filed under the name uncultured bacterium. RNAcentral's name for it is "bacterial SSU rRNA". It matches the Rfam family "Bacterial small subunit ribosomal RNA", at positions 355 to 896 of the family's 1533-position model. The record is from RNAcentral.
UGGGGAAUAUUGCACAAUGGGCGGAAGCCUGAUGCAGCGACGCCGCGUGGGGGAUGAAGGCCUUCGGGUUGUAAACUCCUUUCGACAGGGACGAAGCUUUUGUGACGGUACCUGUAUAAGAAGCACCGGCUAACUACGUGCCAGCAGCCGCGGUAAUACGUAGGGUGCGAGCGUUGUCCGGAAUUACUGGGCGUAAAGAGCUCGUAGGUGGUUUGUCGCGUCGUCUGUGAAAUUCCGGGGCUUAACUCCGGGCGUGCAGGCGAUACGGGCUGACUUGAGUGCUGUAGGGGAGACUGGAAUUCCUGGUGUAGCGGUGAAAUGCGCAGAUAUCAGGAGGAACACCGAUGGCGAAGGCAGGUCUCUGGGCAGUAACUGACGCUGAGGAGCGAAAGCAUGGGUAGCGAACAGGAUUAGAUACCCUGGUAGUCCAUGCCGUAAACGGUGGGCGCUAGGUGUAGGGGGCUUCCACGUCUUCUGUGCCAUAGCUAACGCAUUAAGCGCCCCGCCUGGGGAGUACGGCCGCAAGGCUA